RNAcentral lists this ribosomal RNA (117 nucleotides) under bacterium. The record is from RNAcentral. RNAcentral also lists the same sequence under 3 other names.
UCCGGUUAUUUUAGCGUUGUGGCACCACUCCUUUCCAUUCCGAAUAGGCAAGUGAAACACAUCCGCGCCCACGAUACUUACCUGGCAACGGGUUGGGACAAUAGGUCGUAGCCGGAA